CCUACGGGGGGCUGCAGUGAGGAAUAUUGGUCAAUGGCCGGAAGGCUGAACCAGCCAUGCCGCGUGAAGGUCAGUGCCCUAUGGGCGUUAAACUUCUUUUUGUCGGGAGCAAUAAUGGUCACGUUUGGCCAGACGAUAGUACCGUACGAAUAAGCAUCGGCUAAAUCCGUGCCAGCAGCCGCGGUAAAUCGGGGGGUGCAAGCGGUAUCCUGAAUUAAUGGGGUUAAAGGGGUCGUAGGGUGUGGGGUAAGUCAGCGGGUAAAGGCCGCCGCUCAACGGGGUGAAGUGCCAUUGAUACUGGCGUGCUGGAAUGCGGAUGACGUGGGAGGAAUGUGUGGUGUAGCGGUGAAAUGCAUAGAUAUCACAAAGAACACCGAUUGCGAAGGCAUCUCACGAAUCCGCGAUUGACGCUGAUGCACGAAAGCGUGGGUAUCAAACAGGAUUAGAUACCCUAGUAGUC
RNAcentral lists this ribosomal RNA (460 nucleotides) under uncultured bacterium. Its description in RNAcentral is "partial 16S ribosomal RNA". It matches the Rfam family "Bacterial small subunit ribosomal RNA", at positions 338 to 795 of the family's 1533-position model. The record is from RNAcentral.